Molecule: long non-coding RNA, 1844 nt
Organism: Lolium perenne
Lineage: Eukaryota; Viridiplantae; Streptophyta; Magnoliopsida; Poales; Poaceae
Source: RefSeq, a predicted model, not a curated record
UGAUUAUGCUACAGGAGUCUGCCGUCGCGUGCAGUAGGCGGUUCAAGAAAUUUGGGGAUAGACUGCUCUGGCGAUUGCGGCUGGCGGCGAGCAGCUAUGGAGAUCGCGGCGGCCGGACAGCGGCUCAAGCUGGUGAUUAGGGCGGCGAUGAGCGGCUGCAGCUUUGGAGAUCGCGGCGGCGGCGAGCUGCUGCAGCUGUGGGGAUCACGGCGGGCGGCGAGCAGCUACAGCUGUCAGCUGGGGAUAGGGGCGGCUUGAGCCGUGGCGAGCUAUGGGCGCCGUCGGUGCGUACGCGAGCGGCAGCAGUGUCGCGGACUCCGCGGCGUGAGGAGCUCGCGUACCGUCGGAGUCCGGCAUCGCCGCGUGUGGUGGCUACGGGCGGCGCUGGGUUUCCUCGGCGUCGUGGUGAGCAGGGGCAGCCCCGGCUGCCGUGGGCGUAGCACGCAGUUAGAUUUCGUCCCCAGCUGCAGAGGUGGAUCCACUGACCGCACUCGGACUCCACCUGCUUGCAGCACAGAACGUUCUGCCCUGGCUACAACAACGAUCGAGGAAGAGCGGCGUUGCAACGUUUUAGAUUUAGUCCAGGCAAUUACUGCUUGGAUUGAUUUUUUGCUGAAUUUGUUCGGAGCAAAAAGCAUUCUGGCUGCAAGUAGGUGUUCAAUUCUAGUUUUUGUUGCUUUAAUUAUCAAUGCAAAUUAGGGGCCGCAUCAAUUAGCUUGUGUGCACCAGUUCUAGUUCUUUGUGUGGCUAGCAUCCACCGUACACCUGUUGUAAAAUUCUUUAUCCGACAGUUUCUUUUCUGAACUAAGGUUGUGUGUUAGGACGUAGCCCACUUACCAGCUGCACCUCAUUUUUUCUCCCGAGUUUCUAAUCCAGCAUAUACGGUGGCGACUGUGUGAGCGGCGGGUGGAUUCAUAUGCGAGCGGCUGGUGGGCUCUGCACCGACCGUGUCCUCGGCAGCAUCGUGGUCAGCGGGUGGAAUCAGCGGCGCUGUUGUCGGCGGGUGGAAUCAGCGGCGCCGUGGUCGGCGGGCUAAACGGGUUGCGGUGUGGUCGCCGGUGGCAAUGCAACGUGGUGAGCGGCGUGUCGCAGGAGGCCGGUGGCUGCGGGCGGCAUUGGCAUCCAAGUGGCAUCGCCGCAUCGUGCAGAUUGCUCGCUUCUUCAGCAAAGGCGGCCGACGCCAAGUUUUUUCAACCAUCCAUGCAGCAGCUGUCGCCGGAGACAUUCUACUGUGUUUAAUGAUUUCAAUGCCAGAAACUCGAUGAGCUGAAUAUAUUAAGGCUAUUACAAGGAAGCACCUCUUUGUGGCCACUGUAGAGAUAGCAGUUGUACUUGUACCCUAGGCUCUUAUCGUCGAGUUCCUUGGCAGCUGUGGUUGGUACCAAUUGGUCUUGCUCUUUCUAGCACUCCUGGGAAAUCAUAUCGCUGUUCUAGAUCGUGCCUUCUCGGAUAUGUUGUUGUCUUCUUGGCAUGGAAGACUGCUGCGUGGCUUCUCCUCUGAACAUCUAAUGAAGCGACAAAAGUCGGCAUUGACGACAUUAGAUAGUUUCUUUUGUCAGGGUUUAUCAUGCCUCAUACAUGAGCUAUAAUUAUCUCUGAUUUGAAUUGUGUAUAUACUAGGCUUCACAUGUAAUUAUUGCGUCUACAGAAAUAUUAUGUGUAUUCCUUUCUUAUUAAAUCUCUCAUACACUAGGAUUUCGUAAGUUGCUAGAUUUGUAAUACACAUUAGGAUCAUGGUUUUACGGCGCAUAAGGCAAAUUAAGCCUUGUUAUGACACUAAUUUGUAAUACACAUUAGGAGUAUUUUUUUUAAUGGUGUGUAAUCAUGACGGCCAAUUUUUACAA